Molecule: ribosomal RNA, 253 nt
Filed under: uncultured bacterium
Lineage: Bacteria
Description: partial 16S ribosomal RNA
Rfam family: Bacterial small subunit ribosomal RNA
Source: RNAcentral
UACGGGGGGGGCAAGCGUUGUUCGGAAUUACUGGGCGUAAAGGGCUCGUAGGCGGCCAACUAAGUCGGACGUGAAAUCCCCAGGCUCAACCUGGGAACUGCGUCCGAUACUGGAUGGCUUGAAUUCGGGAGAGGGAUGCAGAAUUCCAGGUGUAGCGGUGAAAUGCGUAGAUAUCUGGAGGAAUACCGGUGGCGAAGGCGGCAUCCUGGACCGACAUUGACGCUGAUGAGCGAAAGCUAGGGGAGCAAACGGG